RNAcentral lists this unclassified non-coding RNA (772 nucleotides) under Athalia rosae (coleseed sawfly). RNAcentral's name for it is "misc RNA ENSAEAG00005011297.1". The record is from RNAcentral. Lineage: Eukaryota; Metazoa; Arthropoda; Insecta; Hymenoptera; Athaliidae.
UCCAAAGAGAUCAAGUCAAAUCGUACCCGUAAGAUCGAAGUGAUGGGCGAUCUCCCGCGCAAUCAGGGUUCCAAGCGUAGCCGUUAUCAUGUGCUUCGAGGAUGUGGUCUUAGCGCUCCAAACGGUCGGCCAGUCGAUGGCGGCGUACGGAACGACGAUCUUGUUUAGUCCGUGUAUCGCCAAACUGGUCGCCUGGUAGGGCGAAGCGAAGUACGCCCAACUAAAUACAAAUGUUUUUUGUCUUAGCACACCGCAAUGAACGAAGUCGGUAAAACAUUUCGAAAGCUGCAUUCAUUUUCAUGUUAUCGUAUCUUCAAAGUGGUUACCAGUCAGCUCCUUAUCGAGAAAAAGAAGAUCACGUUCAUGAGUUCAGUCUAUACCUUCUGUUCUUCUACAAUAUUUCAUCCAAACUAAGGCGAUCGUCAGCUGCCUUCAUUACAGUACUUACGACCGACCAGUUGUCAAGAUAAUUCGACUUUUGCGGUAAUGCUAUCGACAGACCGCGAAGCUUCUUCAUUAAAUUGGAAUUCUUUACAUCCGUCUGCCACUUUGCUCUUAUCAGACCCGAUUCGAAGGUUUUCUUCAACUCCGUGAACAUCUCUAUCACCUGUGUAUUAGUAGAAAACGUUCGGUUAUUCAGAUAAGAUCCAGUUAUGAACUCGAAAAACCGAAAGACUUUUUUCCGAUUACCGUAGCAUUCAUGGCCUCAAGAUCUUCAGGGCCAAAGGAUGACAUGUAUAGCAUUGACGCAUGCGGCUUCAUGAGGCUCGUU